Molecule: long non-coding RNA, 21522 nt
Filed under: Capsicum annuum
Lineage: Eukaryota; Viridiplantae; Streptophyta; Magnoliopsida; Solanales; Solanaceae
Description: long non-coding RNA (CANN_LNC011326)
Source: RNAcentral
CCACUUUCAACACUUUUAUCCAAACACUUAACUACUUAUUUUUAAAAUAAGUUACUUUCAAAAAUAUUUUUAAAUUUUUUCUUUUCAGCCCUUUUUUUUUAAGCUUAUCCAAACGGCCUCUAUAAUUCUUCUCACGCUUCCCCAUUUUUCCCAUCAAAACCCUGUGAACACUAGCUCAAAAUAAAUAAUUCAGGAUCAUUUGAGGGCUAUCUUAGCCAAAUCCGUCAUUGUACGAACUCAAACAAUGACUUUUCACCCAUUUCAAUUUUUGAUUUUAUUCUCUCAAUUCUGUAUUAAUCUCAGCUAUCAAGGAGUUUCCUAGCUAUUUCCUUUUGAAAUUUUUCCCACAUCAGUUCUAACGCAAUUUGCAAAUUCUACUUUAUCCCAUAUCGGUGGAAUGCACAAACAUCAUCCGAUUUCACACCAUAUAAACCACACUACUCCUUUGUUAAAAGGCAAAAACCCUAAUAGAAGGAAUUUCGCUCGAGAAGACAAAGUUUUUUCAACCCCAAACGAGAUAGAAUUCCUUUUACUCGGAUAGAAUUUUGGACUUUAGUCCCCAGCCAUAGCGUUGUGAAAAUUCUUGCUCAAGUUCCAUUUUUUGCUUUUCUUGCAUCAAGGAUAGUGGUAGAGUUGUCAUCUAUUUGUCAUCCCCGUUUAUUGCCCCAAUAAAGGUAAUUCCCCUCUUCUCCUUUAUUUCUCGACGUUGGUUUCUUUCUUUCAAUUUGUUUUUAUUUGUUAGAUUAGCUUGUUUAUUGAAUUCUGUAUUUAAGGGUUAUUAAUUAUGUAAAAUAACAGGUUAUUGAUCCUCACACAUUUUAUUGCCUAUAACCUACAAUUGAAGUUAGAUUAUUUUCCCCAUUUUGAUUUUGUUCUAUUGUUUCAAUUUUCAUAUGCAUCAUCUUGCGUAAGCUAGUUUGAAUUUUACGUGGUCCCUGAUGUCUGGAAUUAGCAUUUAAAUUUGGUUCCUCUAUUUAUUUGGCUUCAACACAUCCUUCUUUGGUUUGUAAUACCGACUGGAGGCUAUUGAGGUGAUGAGUUAGUCAUUCUUUGGGAUUACUUCUUCGUUCUUUCCAAAGAUAGAAUCACGGGAUGAAGUAUAGCUUAUAUCAUGGAUUAUAUACAUCUUGAGAAGUUCAUUUUCAGUUUGUGUAGCUAAAAGUCGAUAUUUUUAUAAGAUAAUUUAUUAGUUUUAAAUUUUCCUUACUUCUUUUUUGAGUUUUAAGAUAUGAUCCGACCCUUUUACCCUUCUAAAAAUUGUUUUUCAUUUCAAUAAUGCAAUUUCCACGUGGUCCUUCUAGAUAUAAGUCUUAAGCAUAAAAUUUUCAUUUGCUAUGUCUAAGCUCUUUUGUGUGUUUUAGAAUUCAAUAUAAGUUGGUGUAAUUCCUAUGAGUGUUUAAGCUUUGGUAUGUGUGCAGUUCUCUAAUAUGGUUUAGCUUUGAAUUAAAAAUCGAAUUGUUGCAUUAUUGUUAAAGUUUAAAUAGUAAAGAUUACUCUUCUGUUUUUAGUUCACUGGUUGGCAGUUUCUUAGUUUAAAUUAAAAGAUGGCUAUUUGAUAUGCUGUAGAGAGAAAUAUUUUAGAGCCCGAUUGUAUUGUUGAAUAACGUCUUUUGUUUCGGUUGAGGAAUUCAAGUCCUAUUUAGCUCAAUCUAGUUGCACUUCUUGCAGAUAACCUGACUUGAAGGUCACCUUUGGAAAAUUCACUUAGGUGCUAUUAACAUUUCAUUUUCCUACUGAUUUUCUGUAGCAACUUGCGAUUAUUUUUCCUUAUUGUUUGAGCCCAAACCCAUUUGUUUCAUUCCCUCUUUGCAUAAAGGUGUAAAAUUUAUUCCAGUUAUCCUCUUAUGUCAUUAUGUCUCAAUAUUGCCAUCUGAUUUUUGAGAAAGUUGAUAGACUAUGGUUUUGGUUUGUUAAAGCAAUACAAUAUAUUUGUCUUUGUUUCUUCCAUUUUCUUUCUGAUUUUUUCUAAGGAUAGAUCUUCAGAUCAGUGGGAUAUUCUUUGUUGCUAUUCAUAGGGAUUCACCGAUAAGUUUUAAGCUUUAGUUAUGACUGGAGUUUGCGAGGGCCUUUGGGCUGGUGGUGGUGAACUCGGGCUUCCCGAAGAAGGACGAGCACCUGAUCACCUUUCGAAGUGCGGUAGCCAGGACUCAGAUUGACUUUUUGUUGCUUAGGAAAGGGGAUAGGGCAUUGUGUAAGGACUGUAAAGUCAUUCCGAGUGAAAUCUUUCGACCCAGCAUAGGCUCUUGGUUAUGGAUUUGGGUAUAAAGAAGAAUAGAAAGAGGAGGAGUAAGGAGUGUAGACCUAGAAUUAAGUGGGGCGGCCUGACGCCAGUGAAUGCGUGGGAAAUAGGGGAGAGGUUGGCCGGAAUGGGGGUGUGGGAGUGUAGGGGGGACGUGGAUAGUAUGUGGGACAGGGCGGCAAGGUGCAUCAGGGAGAAUGCAAGUGAGGUGUUGGGUGUUUCUAGGGGCCGGGCCGGGCACCAUCGGGGGGAUUGGUGGUGGAAUGAAGAGGUGGAGAAGAAAGUGGGGACCAAGAAAGGGGCGUAUGCUAAGUUGGUGGAAAGUAAGGACGAAGAGGAGAAGCGGGUAAACAGGAAAGAGUACAAGCUAGCGAGGAAGGAGGCGAAGUCAGCAGUCACGGCAGCUAAGACGGCCGCUUUUGAGAGCUUGUAUGCAGGGUUACAGGAGAAAGGAGGGGAGAAAAAGUUGUUUAGACUCGCUAAGGCUAGGGAGAGGAAGGGUCGUGACCUCGAUCAGGUGAGGUGCAUUAAGGGGGAGGACGGUAGAGUGUUGGUGGAGGACGGCCACAUAAAGAAGAGAUGGCAGUCGUACUUUCAUAGGCUCUUGAAUGACGAGGGGGACAGAGCUAUUGUGUUAGGGGAACUGGAGCACUCAGGGGAGUGUCGGGAUUUUAGCUAUUGUAGACGUUUUAAGGUAGACGAGGUUAGACAGGCAGUCCGCAGGAUGCGAAGGGGUAGGGCGACGGGGCCGGAUGAGAUACCGGUGGAGUUUUGGAAGUUCGUUGGAGAGGCUGGUGUAAGGUGGUUGACUGCAUUGUUCAAUGAAAUUUUCAGGACAGCAAAGAUGCCCGAGGCGUGGAGGUGGAGUACCAUGAUCCCCCUCUAUAAGAAUAAGGGGGACAUUCAGUGUUGCAAUAACUAUAGGGGGAUUAAGUUACUGAGUCACUCUAUGAAGAUCUGGGAGAGAGUGGUCGAGGUGAGGCUGAGACGGAUAGUGUCUAUCUCGGAAAACCAGUUCGGAUUUAUGCCCGGCCGCUCGACGACGGAGGCAAUUCACCUGGUACGGCGGUUGGUGGAGCAAUAUAGGGAAAGGAAGAAGGAUUUGCACAUGGUGUUCAUCGACCUAGAAAAGGCGUACGACAAAGUCCCCAGGGAGGUGCUUUGGAGAUGCUUGGAGGUGAGUGGAGUACCGCAGGCAUAUAGCAGAGUAAUUAAGGAUAUGUAUGAGGGAGCGAAAACCCAGGUGAGGACGGCGGGAGGAGACUCAGAGCAUUUCACUGUCCUGACAGGAUUGCAUCAGGGAUCUACUCUUAGUCCCUUUUUGUUUGCGCUAGUAAUGGAUGUGUUAACGCGGCGUAUCCAAGGGGAGGUGCCGUGGUGUAUGCUUUUUGCAGACGAUGUAGUCCUGAUAGAUGAGACGCGAGGGGGUGUGAACGACAAAUUAGAGCUGUGGAGGCAAACUCUGGAGUCUAAAGGGUUCAGGGUGAGCAGAACCAAGACAGAGUAUGUGGAAUGUAAGUUUAAUGACGUAAGGCGAGAGAAUGAGGUAGUGGUGAGGCUAGAAGCGCAGGAGGUAAAGAAAAGGGAUAAGUUCAAGUACCUCGGGUCCGUGAUCCAGAGUAACGGUGAGAUUGACGAGGAUGUCUCGCACCGUAUCGGGGCGGGAUGGAUGAAGUGGAAACUUGCAUCGGGGGUGCUGUGUGAUAAGAAGGUGCCGCCCAAGCUUAAAGGUAAAUUCUAUAGGGUGGUAGUCCGUCCGGCCUUGCUGUAUGGAGCGGAGUGUUGGCCAGUUAAGAACUCCCACACCCAAAGAAUGAAGGUGGCAGAAAUGCGGAUGUUGCGCUGGAUGUGUGGACUGACCCGAAGGGAUAGAGCUCGGAAUGAGACUAUCCGGGAGAAGGUUGGGGUGACUUCAGUGGAGUGUAAGAUGCGGGAAGCACGAUUGAGAUGGUUCGGACACGUGAAGAGGAGGGGCAUGGAUGCCCCGGUCCGUAGGUGUGAGAGGCUAGCGUUGGAUGGUUUUAGACGGGGUUAGGAAGGUCUGGAGGGCGCGAAUUUCGGGAGAGGAUUAGGGCCGGUUUGGGUCGCUAGGGUAGGGAAUUACUUGGUGGGGGUUUUAUUCCUGUUAUGAUUCCGUCUUCCGUGUUCCAUGUUUUAUUACGAAUCUGUGUGCUUUCCUCUGCUUUUCUCUAUUUUAUAUUACUUAUGGGUGCCGUAUUUAUGUUAUGUAAUCUGCUUCUGUGCUUUACUAUGUGUUUGUGUGGUAUCUCGUGUCUUGAGCCGGGGGUCUAUCGGAAACAACCUUUCUACUUCAUCAGAGGUAGAGGUAUGGACUGCGUACAUCUUACCCCCCCCAGAUCCCACUAGGUGGGAAUACACUGGGUUUGUUGUUGUUGUUGUUGUUGUUGUAGACAUUAAUUGUUGCGUUUGAAAUAUGAUUUUGCUCGGUGAAGGAUUAGGUUAUAAAAACACUCUUUUGUGUUGUCAUUUUGAUUUCUAAAAUAUGUGUUUGAAUUUUAAGUUUGAUUUUAAUCAAGAGAAAGAAACCUAAAUUAUACUUUCGACCUAUUAUCCCACGAAACUUACUUAAAUCGUUGUAAAUACACUAUUUUGACCCUCUGCGUGUAUCAGUGACGGAGCCAGAAUUUUGGUUAAGGGUGUUCAUAUUUUUCCUUUGGCAAAGAACUGUUUAAAAAAAAAGGAAAAUAAAACACUGUUGCACCUGUUAAGGUUCGAACCCGGAUUGUUGAUGUGGAAAUGCACACUCUUGACCACUGGACUAUGCUUCUCAAGCUUGUCAAGGGUGUGUAACAACAUGUAUAUAACCAUAAAUAUCUAUAUUUAACCUAUAUAUUCGAAUUUUUUUUUCGACAAAGGGUGUUCAUCUGAUCACCCUUCGUCGGCUGUGGCUCUGCCACUGGCGUGUAUACACGAGCUUGUUGUGCGUGAAAGACUCAAAAUUGACUUUAUUUAUCAAUUAAAAGCUGUCACGUGUAAAUAAUUUUAUUUAUAAUUUUAUCUUUAAAAAACAAAUUAAUAUUUAUUUUCUUUUAAAAAAUAAUAUUUACUUUUUNNNNNNNNNNNNNNNNNNNNNNNNNNNNNNNNNNNNNNNNNNNNNNNNNNNNNNNNNNNNNNNNNNNNNNNNNNNNNNNNNNNNNNNNNNNNNNNNNNNNNNNNNNNNNAAGUUUUUUUUUUUCAAAUAAUCAUUUAUGUAUUUUAUCUAUUUUUAUGAAGAAUCAUAAAACUUUAUUAAAUGGAGUUUCAAUCUCAUGGUGAUGGUGACUGUGUAUCAAUGGAGCUGCUGGAUGGAGAUGGAGGAUCUCCAAAGAAAAUUAUUCUUUUGACAAAAAAAUCAAAAGAAUCAGAAAGUUAAUCAAAUCAAUUAAUAGAUUACCAAAAAACAACUUACUUAUAUUAGGUGUUUAUACCAACUAAUCUAAUUUCAUAUGAAUAUAUAGAAUAUAAACAGGUGGUGGAGUUUUAAUGGAGCUUUAAUGGAUUAAUGGAGCUGGACGGGGUGGGGUGGGAAUAUAAAAUUAAAUGUAUUUAACACGUGACAACAUUUGAUUGAUGCAUGCAUUCACUCUUUCUUGUGACAGGAAUUCAACGAAAAAUGGUGUAUUUGUAACGAUUUAAGUAAGAUUCGUGGGUUAAUAGGUCGGAAGUAUAGUUUAGGUGUCUUUUUGAAAAAGUUGGUCAAUAUCGGGGGAUUUUUUGUAUUUACUCUUUAAUCAAGAUUCUAAUCUUUCUUCCCUUUUCUCUUACUAAAAAUUACACAAAUACACAACUUAUAUUUUCAAUAUUACAAAAAAUCUCAACUCCCUAAAUAUAUUACAAAAAUCCCAUCAUAUACAUAGAAUGCUAUGUAUAGUUGGUUAUGUUAUGUAUAUUAAUAAGGAGAGAGUAAAGUAAUUAAAAAAAUGGGAGAGAGUAAUUACUUCAAAAAGUGUUGGUAUUUAUGUUAUUUAUACUUUGUCUUAUACAUGAACUCUCUCAAAUCGACUCCAUUGGACCUCCCGUUCCCUUUGCUUCUAAUCUAUUUUGAGGCGGCCUCAACCAAUCCUUUAUCAAGCAUAAAAAAGGAAGCUAAUAUAUGUCCAAAGUCCUCAAAGUUCAGCUGUGAUGGAGCAAGGAAACGGGCUCAGAUGAUUUGUCCCCGUAGCAGCAACCCAGGGAAAGAGCCAAACUUGAGUUCAAUUUUAUUCCUCUCUUCACAUAUUUAUUUGGUUACUUAUUUGUUGAAAUCCUACAUACUUUGUUUAAACUUAGGUGAAUCCUCACAGCGGUGUACAGUUUUGAUUUACAAUGGAAUCUUUCUAAUUGUUCGUAUGCUCUUUGAAACUCCACUUAGUCAAAUUUAGAUCAAAGACUGGCUUGAGGAGUUUUAUGUCCUAUAAUUGUUAUUAAAUGUUGCACGCUCACAUGCAAGUGUACGUGGCCUCACCAAGUAAUAUAGUGGCCUUUUAAAAGCCAAGUGUCGAUCCCUCAUAGACUUGUGUCGACAACUAUCCAAAUCUGGUUCGCUAUUGCUAUCAAUUCAGGGCAAACGUAGCCACAAGAAUUUGAAAGUUAUAAGUAAUCGUAAACUAAAGAAUGCGGUAAAUUAAAGUUCUUGGACAAUUAAUGGGGAGAAAAUCAAGUUUAAGGUUCUGCAAACAAUCAUAUUAUGCUAUCAAACUUCAUUGGUUAUGUUACUUAUCACGGGGUGGAUAUUAUGACUAUGGUCUUUCGAGCCUCUAAUCACCUAUCUAGCUUAGCUUCACAACUACAUUGUUAAUUGGGAUGUGGAAACUAAGUUUAAUGCAUUUAUAUUUCAUCCCGUAAAUGAAUAAAAUAUGGCACUUAGGUAUAUUCCUAUCCUAAAUGCAAAUUGUAACUUCAUUUUGUAGAAAAUUACAAUCCUAUUCUAUUUAUCCCCCCACGUACUGUCCUCUUGUUCCUUCUUCCGGGUUCACAAUAUGACUAUGGAUGUAUUAUAAGAGUAGAUAAUUCUUAAAAUAGUGAUAAAAAAUGAUAAAUAAACAACCAAAUAUUUUAAACAAUCAAAACUAAGUCAAUUCAUAACAAGAGUAAUCAUGUUCUUGGUCUUAACCCUGGAAAAAGGUGUUUAGCUGCUCAUGGACAUAACUGUAAUUGCAAUGAUUGAAUACAUGUUAAAAUCCACAAACAAAACAAAUUAAUGGAAUAUAAACCAUAAUUUAAGUGUUCUCCAGCAUCACUCAAAGUUUCAAGGUCGUCUAAGGUGUGAAACAUAAUGUUUAAGGGUCCUUUUUAUAGUAAGACCAAAGCUGUCGAUUUUGACACACCAACGUACCAUGAACUUUUUCGCAGUUCCUAGGGUCCUAACAUACCAUUAUCGUGGUUUCACACUAUAAUUGGUCAUUUAGUAUGCCUCCAAGGUAGUGGAAUGGACCCUAACACGGUGGCUAUGGUCCGUGGCACGCCAUGACUCGAAAACGUUCGUUUUUGGUCAAAUCUUGUCCUAUGUGUUUGACCAUUCAUUCCAAUCUGUGUGGUAUUGUUUACACUUGAUUUACAGCUUGUGUGUCAAGUAUCAUCAUUAUAAACUAAAAAAUAAUCCUAUAGCAUAGAAUACCGCGUGGUAAAAAGCUCAAAACAACAUAAAAUCCAAGACGGUGAACUAGUAACUUAAGCUAAGAACUAGUUUUGUCCUUUUGAUCUUUAACUUAGUGUUUUGUCUCUUGGCUUGCUUAAAUUGAACCUUAAACACUAUAAUAAAGUUAUUCCAUGAAUAAUUACACAAACAUGUCCUUAGGAACUUAUUACACACACUAUAAUCCAUCGAGAUCAACUGGAACAACACAUAGCUCAAGCUAGUAACACUAGUUUUCUCGUCUAAAUUCUAAAUGACCAAAUUGAUUUCAAACAUGUUUGAAACACACCUUAAAAAUUAUAAUAAAGUUUUUUAACACUUAGAUGCUCAAUUCUAUGAUUAACAACACAUUAAGCACAUAAAAAGUCCUCAAAAUAAGGCUAAAUAAGCCCAGAUAACAACACUGAGGUGCAUAAUCCACCUCAGAUCAUCACCCCACACUUAAAGCCUUGUUCGUCAUCGAACAAAUUCUUACUCUAAGAAUAAUAAUCAGAGGGGAAUUUACUCUAAGAAUAAUAAUCAGAGGGGAAUUUGAACUUCUAAAAUAAGCAAGACACUCAAGCUAGCACUGCAAUGACUACCUAAAAUGCAAGUUUUUACUCUAUGCAUGUUAUACACAAUUGAAAGCUCAAGAAUACUAUUCCAAAAUAUCCUAGCCUCAAAAAUUGACUCACCAAGGUGGAAAACUCAUAAAUGUUGCCCAAUAAAAGAGAUCAUGCAAAUCACCCAACUAUCAUCAAAUAUGUGCCCUCACCACAAGAGAGUUACCCAUGCUCACUCACAUAGAUGCAGUUUAUCACAAAUGGGUAUAAGAAUCAAAUUACGCUCACUCUCAGAACGAAUUCACAAGUUACACAAGAUAAACCAUAGGCUUGCCCUUAGUGUAGUACUCCACUAAUAUCCGAAUAUUAAGGAUCAAAAUCAAAUAGGUCUUUAUGGCUUGUAAUGUAAGCUAAGGGAUGGGUAGAAACUUCUGGUCAGUAAUAGUGACUAUCUUUCCUAAGUGCUUUAACACAUCACACUUUUCAUUCAAUCACCUCUAACAACCAUACUUCCAUCUUAUCUACCUUCACACAUAUCUUUGGCUCGCCCCAUCUUAUUUAGCUAAUUCACCAAUAAUGGGGUGGGAGUAUUAUCCAUGCACACAUUAUUUAAUUUGAACAAUCUUUAUCCUUUCCAUUACACAACUCCCAACCACAACACAUAUUAAUUGUCAACACCAAUAGCUAUUCUUUGGGGCUUCAGUUUAACUUUUCUCCUUUCUAUUUUUUUUCCUUAGGAGCUUUGGAUAAAAUUAUGGUCAAUCAAAGAAAGGGAUACAGGCUGCAUAUGAGGCUGCCAAAGAAAACAAGCUAAAGGCUCAAUGGGGAUAACUAGGAUUAUGCACAAUGGUAGGUCAAAAGGGGUAUAAAACAUGGCUAUCAAAGAAAUGCCUAUAUCAUAUCCUACACCCACACUCUUUAUUUAUCUUUGCACACAUACCAGGUAAGUUUUAGACAUCUCAUGCAACAAAGAAUAUACAAAAACCUCACACAUGACACAUGCCCAACUCAACUAGGAUCACAUAGACUCUAAACCAAAUAAUAGUAUGAAUUCAACAUUAAGACAACAACAUUCAAGAAUCAUAAACUAUAGCCUAGGCGUCUCAAAAGUAAUAAUUCACACAAUCAACAUGCUCUUAUAUACAAAAUGGCUUGCAUCAUGCAAUCACACAUAGCACCAACAAGAACAUCUCACUUAUCUGAAAUAAAAAAAUUCAAAUUUACUCCUAAAAAAAGAUAAAAGUUAUUGGGUUCAAGAGGCGACCCAUGGAAAAGAAACGAAAAGAACAAUCACGGGGUGGGUGAAGUGUGCACCUACUAGACUGACCCAAAUAAGUAAAGCUAAAAAUAGAAAAUCUUUUUGUAAUUUUUUAAAAUUUACCCAAAAACUAGAAAAACAACUUGAACUCAAGACCUUAUAACAUCACAUCACCCGAAAUAAUGAGAAUUUUCCCAACCCACACUUAAAAAUUUACUUUGUCCCUAAAGUAUACUUAAAAGUAGAGAUAUAAAUACUCUUUGAGGCCUUUAGGCCUAACUAGUAGCAUCUUCAUACAUCACGAGGGUUCGGGGACCUUAUAGUUAGUCUUCGCCAUGCUCUUUAGCUUAGAUUUUCAGUACUCAGACUUCCCAUCAACCUGUGACUCGACAAAAUAAAAACUACAUGAAGUAAAAACUAAAAUAUUGAAAAAAUAAAUACCUACCUUAACUUGGGUUGUCUCCCAAGCAGCAUAUGAUUUAGUAUCGCGGCAUGACCUAUAUCAACUUUUUCCUCCACCUUAAGAAUAUGAAUUUCACCCCAACCUCGCAUACAUCUAUAUGCUUUGCUCAUAGGAUGGUGGUACAAAAAUGAAAGAACCAAGUAAAGAAUGAUACAUGGUAAAGCACUCGGUCCUGAAGUGAGGCAUAUUUUUGUGUUGCUUGUCUGGUGCAAAUUUAAGAAUAUAGGAUUCUUGUUCAUUAUCUUCACACUCAUUCACUAUUUUAGAUGACUCUAAAGACGUGUCAUUAUCUAAACAUAAUAUAGAGAAGUGAUUUGAAUGAGACCCAACCAAUCCCACUUUAAAAUUUUCACCAUCCACAACAUACUUACUCUUAUUCAUCUUUCCAAUAUCACUCUCAAGAUAAAGAUGACAGUUGAAUGGCUGAAAUUCUUGUGUAUGCUCUAUGUAUAGGCUAUUAUCAACCUCAUCUAGUGAAAGUCCCAACCAUUCGCUUCCCAAAAAAUUUGGACAAAUACUCUCCUGGUAAGGUCAUCCACAAAAACAACAAAAAUAAUCAUCAUUCGACCACCAUCUAUCCAAGGCUGACAUAUCAAUAAGUGUGAAAAUAAAGUAAAAAAAAACUUAAAAGAAAAAAAUACUAAACUCUGUACAACUUAAUAUAGCUAACCUAAAAAUAAGAUAGUUGCCUAUUUAUAAGUCCCCCACAAUGGUGCCAAAAAUUUAUUGCGUCCAAGCACACACACAAGUGUACAUGGUCUCACCAAGUAAUAUAGUUUCCUUUUACAAGCCAAGUAUCGAUCCCUCAAAGACUUGUGUUACAACUAUCUAAAUCUAGUUCACUAUUAUGAUCAAUUCAGUGCAAAUGUAGUCACAAGAAUUUAAAAGUUAUAAGUAACAUUAAACUAAUCAAUGUGGUAACUUAAAGUUCUUGGACAAUAAAUGGGGAGAAAACCAGGGUUAAGGCUCUGCAAAUAAUCAUACUAUGCUAUUGAACUUCGUUGGUUAGGUUACUUAUCUUGGUUGUUGAUUCACAGGGUUGAUAUUAUGACUAUGGUCUUUCGAGCCUCUAAUCACCUAUCUAGCUUAGCCGCACAACUACAUUGUUGAGUGGGGAUGUGACAACUAAGUUAAAUGUAUUUAUAUUUCAUCCCGUAAGGUCACUUAGGUAUAUUCCUAUCUUAAAUGCAAAUUAUAGCUUCAUUUUGUAGAAGAUUACAAUCCUAUGCUAUUUAUCUCCACGCACUAUCCUCUUGUUCCUCUUUUCGGGCUCACAAGAUGACUAAGGAUGUAGUCUAAGGGUAGCUGUAACACCCAAAAUUUUCAACCUAGAAUUUGAAUCGUUAUUCCUACGUGUAUAAACUUGAGUCCAAUUAUUUCAAUAUAAAUAUAAGUGUAAGCACUUAGAGUAAAGUAGAGUUAAGAACUAGUGAUUUGAUCAAAUUUUGGAAUUUGAUUCUGCAAGGAUCAAUUUUGAACAUUUAUGACUUCUAAAAUAUAUUGAAUUUUGCGGCUCAAGACACAACAAAUUAAAUAUAAUUGAGUCCUCUUUCCAAUGCAUCCGAUUUCGCCUUAAUUUGAUAUCCAAGCGAAAAAUUAUGAGCAUUUUCGUGAGAAACUAGUGAGGGUCUGUGCUUUCAGCGUGUCAUGGAGGAUAAGCUCUGUGCCAUGUUGAUGCUUUAAAUUUGGGCAGAUUUUGGUUUUGUUUACUUGGGGUGAGGGGUAUUUGGGUCUUUUCACACACGAAAGACAUUUAAAAACUAUAUGAACCUAUUUUAAUCAGUUUUCACGAUAAAAAGACAAUUAUUCCACCAUCAAACUCAAAACCCCAACAAAAAAUAAGGGCUUCAUCAUACGUUCGUAUUCUAGGUUCUAAGUUCCUAAUUGCUCUCAAAUUUUGUGUGCGUAAGGAAUGUACCUCUUUUCCUUACUUCUAUUUUAUUAAUGGCAUGAAAAUUGGUUUAUUGUUCAUUAUUUUGAUGUUUAGUUUUGAACUAUUGGUUGAGGGUUUUAGAUAUAAAUUGUUUGAAUGUUUUUCCAUGAUUUUUAUUAAUUUAUUAUGCAUGAAUUGUUGGUUUGUACACUCAUUGGGGUGCAUGGAAAUAGUGAAUGAAUUUAGGGGUACAAUGGAUUCCCCAAAUAAUUGGUUUUUGUAUGAAAAUUGAUAAUGACCUUGACCCACUUGCAUAAUUGUUUUUGGAAUAUAAAUUAUCGUUUGGUUUGGCUAUUUUCUUUGAAACUAAUUCAUUGUAUAAAUGGUAAAAUGGUUUAGUAUGGAUUUGAAAACUUUGUGGGGUAUAAUGGAAUCCUCCAAGUAGAAUUUUUUAAUAAUGAAGUUUGGAGUACGAGGUAUCCUAAAGGAUUGGAUAAUGACAUUACUUGCAAGCUAUAGUCGGUUUGAUACCACUUAUUGAUGCCUUAAAGGUUGAGUCCUUAAAAAAUUGGUUAAAUUAUGUGCUAAAGGUUUUAAUAUGGGCUUAAAGGAGGUUGUGUAGCAAGGUCGUGAAGGUGGAUGUCCCGGGGGGCUAAUACUGGAAACUCACAUUUGCCGAUAUGAUCUUGAUGACCAUGAUCUAUUUUGGGACUGCUAGCUGCCUUGAUGGCUUUAAAUUUCUCGAGUUUUCUUUGAUUCAUGCGGCUAACAUGCAUAGGGCCCUUUCAGCAAGGGGAGCUGAACCCAUAUAGACCGUGGAUACCAGUUUAGGAUGGUCAAGCUACGCAAUCUAGGUUAUGGUUUUAAAAGUUCAUGAUAAGCCUUGUUUCCUAUCCUGGCAUAUUAUAUUUAUAUAUAUGUAUAUACAUAUGAUUAUGUGUAUUGGUUUUUGGAUAAUUUGUAAACUGUUGAACAUGAAAUUAUAUUAUCCCUGAGUUACAUGCUAGUGCUUAUCCCACUAACCAUCUCUGGAUGAUAUAUCCCCACGUAAUGCAGAUAUAGGAAAUAAUUCUACUUUUUUUACACAGUACCAAGGUGAUCGUGGGAUAGCUCGUGAGUCAUAUUGAAGUAGUGAACUUACAUACUUCAGAAGGACUCAUUUCAUGAUUAGGGACUCUUUAUAAUAUUGGUUCUUCCCAUUGGUAUUAUUGACUCUAAUGUCUAAAAAGCCUCUAAAACUGACUGACUGAAUAUGAGUUGAUGGGACAAGUCCCCAACUAACUCUGCUAACUACUAAAAUAGAGAUAUAAAGUAAAAUAAUUUGUCCUCGAAUGAUGAGGACUCACCACUAUUACUGUACUACUGAUAACCUGAGAAGUAAAGGCUAAGCGUGGUUCGGGAACUGAGCUUCAGCACCUAUGAUAUAAUACAUCAUAGCGCAAAUGAAAGAUAUGCAAUCAAUACUUUGAAUGUACUGGUAUACUAAAUGAGGUAAGCUGAUAUGCAUAGUUUUAUGAACAAAACUAAUAAUUAAAUGAAUAUACAUGUAAAACAUGGAGUACUGAGUAGAGAACAUAGAAUCUAUAGAUACGGAAAAUAUGGAGAAUAUGUAAAUACCAAGUAUGCAUAACAGUUUAUAAAUACUGAAGAUAUGUGAACAUCUGUAGACACUGGGGAUGUAUGACCAAGCAUAUAACAUGGACUGAGUAAAAUCUAUAAACUAAAAUACUGACAAAAUAUUGAUAUCUAUAUGCUUUGGUCAAACAACUCUAAGACUGUAUAACUGAACUGGGACUGUAACUAAGACUGCAUCUUAGACUGUAGGAGGUAUCACCUAACCGAUAUUCCUUAAUUUGAGCUAAUCCGGGUCCAACCUUCAACUCUAGUUGAAAGGGUGUUAAUACCGUGCCAUGGGUACUAACGAUGACUGUGUGGAUGCACUAAACUGAUAUAAUGUCCAAAGGACUAAGGGUGUCAAGCCUGAACUGGCGGGUGACCCUGCGUGAUAGUCAAGCCUAAUCUGAUAGGUGACUUCUCAUAUUCUACGCUGGCUACAUAGUUCUGGAGUAUAGGGACUGCUACUAACGACUCUGCCUAUCUGACGGGGAAACCACCAUCCUUACACUCGCUCGGUGCUAAAUCCUACUCCCAACUGAAAGACACUGAAAUACUAGAUUGUUCUUAGUUUAACUGACUGAUAUCUGACUAUUCUGAUAAUGCUUAUAGUAUGUUCUGAGGACUAUUCUGUAAUGUAUUGAGACUAGACUAAGUAAACAUCUAUUGAUUUUGGGUAUUCAAUACCCCCAGGACUCAAGACAAUAAUAGUAAAAUGACACUAAAUCUUGAAGGAUAAAACAUGAAGGCUUUUAUUUAAAUCAAUCACUCUUGUAGGCAUUUUAUCAAACACUUGUAUUUCAGUGUUUAAAAAAAUCAUAGGAAUAUCAUGAAACUUAUAAAAAGAGCAUGAAUUCAACAUAAUAGUACUAAAUCAUGGUUUAUUUCAAUAAAUAAUAAUAUUAAAACAUGGAGAGUUGAAUAGUAAUGAUAAUUUUAUGGUAACAUUGUAUAAAAUCAAUAGUGCAUGGAGAUUCAUGGAUGAAAUCAUAAUUUAAAACAUAAUAACUUGAAAAGAUUAUAACUUGGUGAUUAAAAUGAAUUACUUGGGCUCCAUGGAUGAAAGGAAUCCAUGGAUGAACAUCUAACAUACCUUGGAUAAUGAAUUUCUUGAAGUUCUGGGUGAGUUCCAGAGGAUUGGUCUUGAAUUUGAGAGCUAGGGUUUCUUGUUCUUGUAAAAGAGGAUCUUUACUUUAAGAGGAAGUUGAAUAAUGAAUGAUUCUUUAGGUUAAUUGGGGCUAAAUUUCAUGUUUUAGGAAAAGUUUAGGGCUUAGGAAAAAGACCCAAAAUACACUUUAACAGAUUUAAAAUGUAAGCUGAAAACUGACCAUCCAGAUUUUGGCCUUGGCGCGAUGCACCACUAUCGCUCCAAGCCACUGAAAAUGGACAAUUGGGACCUGGACGAACAGCACGAUGUGGAUCUAUCGCGGUAAGCCUUUGGAAUUCCAAUUUGGUCACCUCUGCGAUGCUCUAACAUCGUGGAGGCCCACUGGAAAUUACCAAACAGAAAAUUAGCCUGCUUAGCGACGUACUAUGAUCACGGAGUCAUACUGGAAAUUGACAAUUGUCAUUUGAGAUUUCUCCGCAAUGCGGUCUAACUACUGAAACUUAAAAUCAUCAUAACUUCUUACUCGAUUAUCAGAUUUUGACAAAUUUUGUAUCGUUGGAAAGCUAAUUGAAUUUCCUAUGCAAUGGCAAGCUCUAAACUGAAAAAUAAUGUGUGUUUCAAAAAUUUUAUAUACAAAUACUCAUGUAUUGACACUUAGAUUAUCUAGGAAAAUACGGGGUGUUCAUGACCAUUUCCUACUAAUUUUAUCGUAAGUUUUUAGCCUAAAUCCUCUAUUUAAAUCUUGUUUUCCCAUUUUUUACUUAUCUUUCGGGACAAAUUGGAGCCUCGAUUUAUAUCCUAUUUGUUCUCAAAUUUUGAGCAUACAUUUCUUUUCCUUUGGGGGACUUUGUGAUGGAUUCAAUUUUGAGAUUACGUUAGUGGGCCUUACAGGCCUAUUUUUACCUAAUUUUGGGUCCAGAGUUUCAAUAGAAAUAUGUGUAUCAUUUUAAUCCUAUUGACAUUUAUAUUAUUAUUUUAAUAGUGAGAUAUUAUUUUGGGAUCAUGGAGCAAAGACGAGCGGUGCAUGGAAGGUUUGGGAGUACGAUUCGACAUUGAGGUAGGAUUCAGUCUACUUUUUUCUAUGAGAUGUUAUUAUGUAUAGAUUGAAUGAUAGGUAAGGAUUAUAGGAUAUGUUUAGGAUAGUAUACCUGACUUGACCUAUUUUGAAAAUUUGGAAUAGAAAUGUGACCCGAACCUUAGUUGAAAAUACUUGAUACAACCUUACAAUCCUAUUAUCCUUAUUUAUGGACUUGUUUAGGUAUUUAUUAACAUUACAGAUCUUUUAAAAUAGGAUAUACCAUAUAACUUAGUGAUUUGGGUGGCAUUUACCCAGUUAGAUAUGUAUAGUGAUUUUAUACACUUAGAUCAUAUUUUCUUGGUUAUGGUGCUAUUGUCAUGCUAGUUAUAUAUGUUAUUGGGCCUGAGGCCAUGGUUACGAUACCUAUUGAGCACCAGGUUAUUAUUUUAUCCCUUGUGAGGAUGUGGUUGUGUUUUACAGGCACUUAUGAUUGUAUUAUUUGGAUACUGUUGAUGGUACGCAUACUUUUAAGUGCAUUUGCAUUUACUUAGUGACAUGAUUCCAAUCAAAUCCUUUAUUUUACUUCUAUUUUCUAAAAAUGGACUUAUUCCAACUUUUUUGACAUAACCCAAACCCCGAGCCAUGUUUUAUGGGCACCCCAAGAUCACCUGAACCGAAGGCCAUCCCAAUAACCCAACCCAACCUCUCAUCAUAUAAUAGGAGUCGAAGGAACUCCAAUUCAUAAGGUAAUACUACGGGAAUAAUAUCAUAAGUAAAUAUUAGAUUCAAAAUACCUAACUCACACCCAAGUUAACAGUAUCUCACAAUACCUCUAUAUAAAAACAAAGUCAACAAAUGUAUAUGUCGGGAAAAGCCCCCGACAAUAGCCAAACCAAGUCUAAAGAUAAGAGACUAAGAGGUGCAUGUAUUUCGAAGUAAGGAAGAUCACCACUUCAAGUAAAUGCACGAACCACUUCAAAUUACUAAUCACUAGGCAGAAAAAGAAGAAGAUGUUCCAAAAAAACAUAGCAUUCGGAGACGGUUCGCGGUUGGAACACUAAGAUGUAACUCAAGGAUAAGUGAUAAAAUAUCAUCAUCAAUCAACAUCAAGUCAAUAUAUCAUAUUUCAUCUCAUUCACACACUAAUACAUACAUACAUAUAUGUAUCACACGCUAAUUAAGAUAUCAAGGCUCAUCAUCAUACUCAAACAUUCAUUCAUUAGACAUAAAGUGGGGGACUCCGACCCUUCCACUUAUAGGUUAAACAAUUCAUGUAAUGCAUAUGACUUUAACCACAUUCAAAUGCACUUAGACAAGGGACUUAAACCAUGCUUACUCAUUCAUUACCCAGGACUUUAACUGUAUACGCAAUCACUCAAAGAAGUGGCUCUAGCCAUACACAUAUCCAAUUGGACAUAGUACUUCAACCACAUGUCCACACAUUUGAUUGGACAUGGGACUUCAACCUCAUGCUCACACAUUAGGAAAAGGACUCUAAUAUCAUUCUACACUUUGAUUCUAACCUCAAGCUGUUCCAUUUAGUGAGGUUCUCUAACCUCAAGAUAUCUCUAUAAGUAAGGGACUUUAACCUCGAGAAAUAUCAUAGGGCAAGGGACCUCAACCUCAAGCCAUUCAUAAGGAAAUGGACUUCAACCUCAAGCCAUCACAUCUAUCAUUAGUUGACAUUUGGUAAUUUAACCCUUUGCCCAUGCAUCAACAUACAUUCAAUACAACAUUAAAGGACUAUAACCACUUUAGCCAAUUCAACACUAUACAUGACCACAUGGUCCUUAUGGGAGACUUCAUUGGUCAACCAUCUCAAUAGGCCAAUUCUUUCACUUAAUUAAAAAUACAAAGCAAGUUAUGGUUAUCAAGACCCUUACAAUAAUUCUAUGCCACAUUCUCACCAUACUUGGGUUCACCCAUAAUUUAAGUUCAUCUUUAUAUUUACGGACUUUACCUUUUCAUUAGCCAAUAACCAAGGUUAUAAAUUUAAUCACACAUAGUUCAUAAUUUCUUUAACACAUCAUUUAUAAUUAUCCAUGUUCAUUGGGCCAUUUCCCUAGUUCAAUACAUCAUUAACAUAUGACUAGACAACUCACUUAGACAUUUUCACAAAUACUUUGGGUGCAUACCUUCAAAAAGGCCAUUUCCAUGGUAUAUAUAUUAUCAAGAUUAGGAUUACUCAAGACCCUCAUGUUAAUCCACAUACAACAAUAACCUACACAUGUAAUUCAUCAUUAAUAUCAAAUAUAAACAUAAGUCUAAAUAAUAUUUAACAGCAUACAUCAUUAGGUACAAAACCCUUUUUAUUUUAUUUCAAAACCACUAUGUACACUUACUAAUCCAAGUGUGAAAUACAUGGUUUUAGAGAUAUUUAAAGAGGGGAAGAGAUACAUGCCCUAAACAAGAUGACAAACCAACAAUCUUGACUCUUCCUUGACACUAGAUGAACACCUCCAGACCUUAGCCUCCAAUCUUGCUCUAAGAAGCUUUUGUAGUGUUUAGAAGUGUUUGAGUCUUUUAAAUAAAGACUUAGGAGGAUACAAUGCCUUAUAUAGUGAGAGGGUUUAGGGUUUUAGGAAAGAAAAAUACCAAAAGGUCCUUAGUUAAAAAUUGAAAAGUUAAUUCAUACAGCGGUAUGACUCCCCUUACGGUUCCUAUAGCAAUCUAUCCUUAGGGUAUAAUUGGUACCCUAACUCAUACCCUAGGCUUCUCCUAGGUCAACCACACUAUUUUGGGUAUAAGUGGUCACCCCUGAGUCAUAUCCAAAGGGUACGACUCAAUCCCUAACUCAUAUAAACCACUGGUAAUAUAAUAGUCCACUUAAGUUAGGUCCAUGCUCCAUAUGGUUGAGUAGUAUAUGACUCGUAUCCAUUGGUUACGAGUGAGAGAUGGUCAUGUCGUAUAAAAAAUAGUAUGUUACCCUCAUGGACUGAUCAAGGUACAGAAGGGAAGGGAAAAGUGGGUACGAGUUGUGACCAAGGGUACGACUAAAGUCUCUAGUCAUACCCAACUUAGAGACACCAAAAAGUUAAUGUUUUCUAAAAGUUCAAAGUCUAGGUAUUUCGAUUCUCUGCCACUUGCAUUCGUCCACGAAUGAAGGGUAAGGCAAGUAUAAACACAAGUUAAUACAUCAACAUAUAUCAACUUAACCUUUACAUAAGUUAGAAACAAGCACACAACAAGAAUGCAACAUAACACAUAUCAUGAUCAUCAUCAAUCAACUAUUUUAUUUCAUUGGUCUUGGAACUCAAACCUACUACUUAUCAAGCACUUACUCAUUUCACAACUUAGGGACUUCAACCCAUCGACUUUUAAAGAUUUAAAGAAGCUCAAAGAGUUAGGGACUUCAACCCACCACUUAUCAAUGACAUGAAUCAACUCAAGGUACUAGGGACUUAAAACCAUUACAACAAGACACACAUAGUUUCAAAGCAUUGGGGACUUGAAAUCAUGGUCUAACAAGACAUAACCAAUUCAAACUUGGCGACUUUAACCCAAGGCAUAACUUAAUUUCAAACAUUGGGGAAUUCAACCCAUCAUCUAUCAAAGAUAUAAAUAAAGCAAGGAGAUCUAUCAUAUACCUCCAUCACAAGCUUCUGGAAUAGCAAAUAAAUGCGGGUACUUGGACUUCAUGUCCUCUUCCGCCUCCCAAGUAGCUUCCUUGUACUUUUGGUUUCUCAAUAGAAUCUUCACUGAAGACACUUCUUUUAUUUGCAAUUGGAAAACUAGCCAAUUUAAUAUCCUCAUUGGGACUUCUUCAUAGGAUAAGGAGUCCGAGAUACCAAUAUCCGAGGGGACAACCAAGGAAGGAUCACCCAUACAUUUUAGUAAAAUAAAGACAUGGAAAAUCGGGUGAUUGGAGUUUAUACUAUAAGGCAAUUCUAACUCAUAAGCAAUAUUUUAAACCCUUUUUACAAUCAAAUAGGGACUAACAUAUGGGGGACUAAGCUUCCCUUUCUUACUGAACUACAUCACUCCCUUCAUGGGCGACACUUUUAAGAAUACCCAAUCAUCAACACAAAACUCUAAGUCCCAACGCCGCACAUCCGUAUAGGACUUUUGGUGACUUUGAGCGAUCGUUGAUCUAUCACAAAUCACCUUCACCUUCUCUAAGCCUUAGUGAACUAAGUCGGGCCUAAGCAACUUACCCUCGCCAACUUUGUACCACCCAAUAGGAGAUCGACAUCUCCUACCAUACAAUGCUUCAAAAGGUGUCAUGCAAAUUCUAGAGUGGUAACUACUAUAAUAGGCGAACUCAAUCAAAGGCAAGUGGUCAUACCAACUACCACCAUAAUUAAUCACACAAGCCCACAACAUAUCCUCCAAUGUUUAAAUAGUUCUCUUCUCUUUCCCAUCCAUUUGCAGGUGGAACGCGAUACUAAGUUACAUAUUAGUUCCCAAACCUCUUUGCAAUGACUUUUAAUAGUGGGAUAAAAAUGAAGGACCACGAUCCAAGGUAAUAGACACUGGAGUAUCGUACAUCCUCACGAUCUCAACAAGAUAUAACUUAGCAUAAUCAUCUGUGGAAUAAUUUGUCUCACGGGAAAGAAAUAAGAGGACUUGAUCAUUCUAUCAAUAAUGAACCAAAUGGAAUUACAUUGAUUUCGAGAUCUAGAAAGUUCGGUAACAAAAUCCAUAUUAAUUACCUCCCACUUCCACUCAGGCAACACAAUCUCUUGGUAUUGGCCACCGGGCCUCAAGUGCUCCACCUUUACUUGUUGGCACACCAUAUAGUUAGCCACAUGGCUAGUAACAUCAUGCUUCAUAUCAUUCUACCAAUAGAACUCUUUAAGGUCAUGAUACAUCUUGGUGGAACCGAGAUGAAUGAGCCUCGUCCAUGACUCUUUCUCUCAAUCCAUUGAUGUCAGGAAUACAUAGCCUACCUUGGUACCUCAAGAUACCAUCACCACCAAUCACAAAGUCCGUGACAUUAUGUUGACCCAUAUUACUCUAGAUCUUCAUCAAGUUGGGAUCCAAGAAUUGAUUCUCCUUUAUCUCAACAACAAGAGACGAUUGAGAUACCGGCUUCACAAAUGCACCACCAUCCUUAGAGUCCUUAAGUCGAACUCUAAGAUUAGCCAAACGGUGACAUCUCACACCAAUUCCCACUUAUCCAGAUCUAUAUGGGACAAACUUCCCAUGGACACAUGGCUAAGGGCAACGACAACUAUAUUUACCUUAUUGGGAUGGUAAUAAAGACUCAUAUCAUAGUCUUUCAAUAGCUCAAGCCACCUUCUUUGCUGGAGAUUUAAAUUCUUUUGAGUAAAUACAUAUUGGAGGCUCUUAUGAUUGAAAAAGAUGUCGACAGGAACAUCAUAAAGAUAUGCCAACAAAUUUUCAAUGCAAAGACCACGAAUAAUAACUCUAAGUCAUGGGUAGGGUGGUCCUUCUCAAGAAUUUUUAUUUCCUAAAAGCAUAGGACACCACUUUGCUAAUGUGUGAGCAGAUGCUAACAUAUUUGAGGCUUUUAAAUGAGAAUAAUUGCAAGGUCUUAAGCAAAUUUUGUCAUUUUUGAUUGUUUUAUCUUUGAUUUUGCAGUGGAAGCCAAGAUGCAAGAGAACCAACAAGGACGAAAGCAAAAGAGUUAAAAUCUAAAGCAAAUAGAAAAGAAGUGUGGCUGAAGACAUUCCUGAUAAGUCAUCAACCUUGUGAUAAGCUAUUAGAGUUGCCAUCAACCUUAAACAGAGAAUGGACCCCAGUUGAAAGUUGUGACAAUAUUUGGUGAUAGGCCGUCAUAAGUGUGAUAAGACAUCAGGUUUGUUGUUAGCCUAAGGUAGAACAUGAGAG